Long non-coding RNA from Chiroxiphia lanceolata (lance-tailed manakin), 2717 nucleotides. RefSeq lists it as uncharacterized. The record is from RefSeq and is a predicted model, not a curated record. The transcript has 2 exons. NCBI's taxonomy places the organism in Eukaryota, Metazoa, Chordata, Aves, Passeriformes, Pipridae.
UGCCAGAACUGAGAGUUUUUGCAUCAGUUAUUGCUGCUUUAGUGAAAUAAGGUUAACAAACACAGAGGUGAGCAGGUGGUCAGAGAUAAACAGGUGAGGAACACAUUUCUGUAAUAAAGAAAAUUCUUGGGAAGGAAACCAUACCCUCCCCCUCCCCCCCAAAAUUUCUACUUCAUUAAGGUGAUUUCGAACUCACUGGGAAACCAAGGACUCGGUUGCUGAUCAGCGCAAACAAAAAUAAUCCAGGUGGCAAGUCUGAUGAGAUAUGACCUUGUUCAAAAUCAAUAGACUGUUCCCCUUCCACUGAGCACAACCGACUCUCGAAUGAGUUUACUUCAACAGAGGCAUUUCCCUCACAACAUUAACAUUUUAAUUGCGUGUGCAGGAUUUUCUGGAAAAUUAACCCAGUGCUGGUUGAGCACCGGGUGAGGAUGCUGGGCACAGGGCUGGGAGUGCAGGCAGUGCUGCGGGGAGCUGCAAACACAUACCGCCACCUAAAGGAAAGAAACCUGCAGGAAACCACGGAAAGCUGCUCCCUUGGACUCUGUCAGAGCUGAUUAAAACAAAGAGGCUUAAUUUGCUCUUUGCAGCCUGCCUCCCUGAUGCCUUCCGAAGGGCUCUCUCUCUGGCAAAGCAGGACAAGUCCAUCAGCAUCAUGUAGUCUCUGCCACAGGACCAGUAAUGUGAUGGUUGCACACUUGACAGUGGACUCGGGGUAACUUCUCAAGUUGUUGCAACUUCUUUGUGUGUCUACGCAGUCUUGUAGCAGGGCCACAAAUUAGGUGAAGCCAGGUCAUGUGCUGAUGCUUGGGGACGGCUCUGCCGGGAAGCAAAACCCCACCUGGGCUGCAACACCAGGAUGUGGCAUUGCUCCCACUCCUGCUGCCAGACUCUGCAGGGCAGGGCCAGCUGGGAACAGGAAAAAAGCUCAGGCCCAUACGUCAGUAAUGGCUGGAUGGGGAGAAUGGGUGGCAGGUGCCAAUUUUGUAAGCCAAUGAACAUCUGUGUUUAGGAACUGCUUUCAAGCCCAUGCAGCAUCUGCAUUUCCAGUGAAAGCCACAAGCAUCUUGCUCUCUUCCAUGUCUAUAACAUUGCUUAAUGGGUUGGAGGUAAAUGUAAGAGGGAAGGAAUGAAAAGACGGAUUCUCAAAUGGGUUAAGGUACAGUAAAGCACUGUUUGAAAACCUGAAUAUAGCUUCUCAUUAAUUAACACUACAACUGUAUGGACAUGGUCAUAAUAAGUGCUGGAAGGAGCACUGUCUUGUAGGGAAAACAGUUCAUGAUUCUUCAAAUAGCUUUCUGUGUAGUCUUAAACAAAAAGCCAUUUACUCCUCUGUGCCUUAAUUUUUACAUCUGAUUAGAGAUAUUAUGAUUAAAGCUGAUGAAACAUUUUCAAAUUGGUAACUGGAGAGGUUGGUUUUGGGUAAAAGGACUAAUGGAAUAUUUCACAUCUGUUCCUCUGAUGGGAUCAAGCCAAGUUGUCUAUUUCUAAAGGAUAGCCUUUUCUAUUUGAAAUGUAUAUAUUUUAAUUUCAUGUUACACUCAUAUAUAAAUUAACUUACCAUAUUAUUCUAUUGAAUUGCUGAAUAUCACAUGUAUACCCUGUAUGUAUUAAAGCAUUUUAAUAUCAUGCCUUAAUGUUUUUUACAUUAAAUCAGUGAACUAGUUUUUUCUUUGUUAAUUAAAUAUUUCAGCUUUGUCAGAACUAAAUGCUUUUGCAAAGUUAUUGGAAAGUUCUUUUCCGCCCUUUAUCUUCUGAUUUUGAAACACCUUUGAAGGUAUUGGAUCCCCUUUUUCUGGUGUUCCUGCUGCUUUCAAUGUGACUAGAGCCAAGGAUCAGGUACUCUUGGUAUGUUUUGGGGGCUGUGGCAAAGUACUGCCAAUGAAUGUCCAUUAGGCAGAGUCAGUGCUUCCUUGGCACCAUCUGCAACAGUAGUAGCUUGGGAUUGUCCCUUUACAUGCCAGCCACCAUCCAGCUUUUCUGUCAUUGCUUCUCUGUAUUAGGUCUGACUGAGCAGAAGUUAAUAUUCUCUGUAGCAGCCCUCACAGUACCGCUCUUCCUACCGGUAGCUAAAAAGGUGUUGAUAACACACCAGUGUUUUGGCUACUGCUGAGCAGUGCUCACACAGCACCAGGGCUACCUCUUCAAUAUUCUACCCUCAUCAGUAGGCUGGGAGUGGACAAGAUCUUGAGAUGGGAUACAGCCAGGCCAGAUGACCCAAACUGGCCAAAGAGAUAUUCCAGAUAUAAAAACUAAGAAGAAGGGGUAGAGUACCUGAGGUUCUUGUUCAUCCUUAUGAACACUUUAAUACCACUAAUUAUCAAUGUAGCAUAGUAUGUGGUUUGUGGAAUCUGGUGUCAUCCUGGUAUAAGAGAAGACAAUUUUUGGGUCAGGUGAUACUGAAAUGUGUCCUGAGGCAAGAGAUCUCUGGGCGGCAGGGCACGUGAAAGGAUUUGGACAGGUUUCUAGGAUGGUUGUCACCUCCCAUAGCCUGGGACUUUACACCUGAACAGGCAAGCAAUCCUGAUAAAUUGACAUGCCACCUGACAGAAGAGUGCCUUCCUCACCCCAAUGAAAACCAGUUUCCAUCACUGUACUGGUGCCUGAUCUGUGCCCAUUGAGCCACAGUUCAGUACUCUCAGAGGACUGUGGUUGAGACAGAGAUCCAAACAACAACUACAGUCACUGUCCCUGUAGUGGAAAAGAAACAGUUGACA